CUUGUCUUCCAGUAAACCAAAGCGUUGCCAUGGUGACGUCUCUGUCAGACAUGUUUGUUCAGACAUGCUUCACGUUCACCAGCAUUGAACUGAUGGAUGGUGGAAGGACAGGACUAAAUCGACCAGAAAUCUCUUCAGCCGACAUUAUGGUCCACAUCUUGAAGCACUUCCAACACCAUCUUUUCUUUUUGCGUCUUUGUUGGAAACAAAGCCUGCUGUCCUGUGUGAAGCAAAAGUCUCAACCCAGAUCUAUGACUGUUGAAGGUUCUUCUAAGAACGAUUGUGGUGAAUUAGCCAUGGCUAUAAACACUGAUGCAGGCAUCAUGUGGCCCUUAACCUGUUUUCUGUGUCUGUCUCUAUCAAAUACAUACAAUUAAAUAUUUAGAUGCA
Molecule: non-coding RNA, 390 nt
Organism: Poecilia reticulata (guppy)
Lineage: Eukaryota; Metazoa; Chordata; Actinopteri; Cyprinodontiformes; Poeciliidae
Source: RefSeq, a predicted model, not a curated record